GGUGCUGUGGCUCAAAUGGUAGAGCGUUAGCCUUGAGCUGAAGAGCUAAGGGACAGCACCC
RNAcentral lists this transfer RNA (61 nucleotides) under Dipodomys ordii (Ord's kangaroo rat). Lineage: Eukaryota; Metazoa; Chordata; Mammalia; Rodentia; Heteromyidae. The record is from Rfam by way of RNAcentral.